GUCUGAAUAAAAACGCGAAGCGUGGGACUUAAAAUCCUGCGGUAGCGAUACCGUACCGGUUCGAUUCCGGUUUCGCGCACCA
RNAcentral lists this transfer RNA (82 nucleotides) under Clostridiales bacterium. RNAcentral's name for it is "tRNA-OTHER". Lineage: Bacteria; Bacillati; Bacillota; Clostridia; Eubacteriales. The record is from RNAcentral.